UUGAACGCUGGCGGCAGGCCUAACACAUGCAAGUCGAGCGGAUGAAGGGAGCUUGCUCCUGGAUUCAGCGGCGGACGGGUGAGUAAUGCCUAGGAAUCUGCCUGGUAGUGGGGGAUAACGUCCGGAAACGGGCGCUAAUACCGCAUACGUCCUGAGGGAGAAAGUGGGGGAUCUUCGGACCUCACGCUAUCAGAUGAGCCUAGGUCGGAUUAGCUAGUUGGUGGGGUAAAGGCCUACCAAGGCGACGAUCCGUAACUGGUCUGAGAGGAUGAUCAGUCACACUGGAACUGAGACACGGUCCAGACUCCUACGGGAGGCAGCAGUGGGGAAUAUUGGACAAUGGGCGAAAGCCUGAUCCAGCCAUGCCGCGUGUGUGAAGAAGGUCUUCGGAUUGUAAAGCACUUUAAGCUGGGAGGAAGGGCAGUAAGUUAAUACCUUGCUGUUUUGACGUUACCAACAGAAUAAGCACCGGCUAACUUCGU
This 482-nucleotide ribosomal RNA is filed under the name uncultured bacterium. Its description in RNAcentral is "partial 16S ribosomal RNA". It matches the Rfam family "Bacterial small subunit ribosomal RNA", at positions 30 to 506 of the family's 1533-position model. The record is from RNAcentral.